GUACUACAGCCCAGCAGGCUCCUCUGUCCAUGGGAGUCUCCAGGCAAGAAUACUGGAGUGUGUUGCCAUGCCCUCCUCCAGGGAAUCUUCCUGACCAAGGGAUGGAACCCUCAUCUUUUAUGUCUCCUGCAUUGGCAAGUGGAUUCUUUACCACCAGCACUACCUGUGUCAGUUGCUUUAUCGCUAUGUACCAAGGAAUUCUUAAAACUUCAUGGCUUAAAAACAACUUCAACUCAUUACCUAUUAUGUGGAUUGAUUACAUGGUUCUUCUACUUCAUGAGAUGUUGGCUGGGAUCACUGGGAUGGAUGGAAGAACUGAAAUCCCCCCAAAAUGGAAGAUGUUAGCAUUCCUCAUUCUAGAGAAGAUCACGGUAUGAUAAUCUUGAGAAGCUCAUCAAGAGACCACCUGAGAGGCCAGACUGAAGGAACCAGAGAAACUCACUAGGAAGAUGCCACUUGAGGCCAGAUUAAAGAUGUGAACACACCCAAAUCCUUAUCAGCAAUUCCACCCUUGAACCAUUGCUAUAAAACUCCUCACCAAAUUCUCCAGAGUUGAGACACAAAAUUUUUGAGUCCACUUUCUUCCCCUGUGGCUCAGCAGAGAUGCAGUUUCAAUCCCUGAGCUGGAAUGAUCCUCUGGAGAAGGAAAUGGUAAGCCAG
Bos taurus (domestic cattle) is the source of this 660-nucleotide long non-coding RNA. The record is from Ensembl. NCBI's taxonomy places the organism in Eukaryota, Metazoa, Chordata, Mammalia, Artiodactyla, Bovidae.